This 2552-nucleotide long non-coding RNA is filed under the name Homo sapiens (human). RNAcentral's name for it is "non-protein coding lnc-ZNF726-3:3". The record is from RNAcentral. Lineage: Eukaryota; Metazoa; Chordata; Mammalia; Primates; Hominidae.
GCAAAGUGGUGUCAUGAAUAGGGACUUCGAGGAAGUGAACGAGGAAGAUCUGCUGGAGCACAGGAAGUGAAAUAGACAAGAUGAAUGGGGACCCCAGGACAAAUAUGCUGGCAGUGGAUAUAAGCAGAUGGAUAAACCAUGUGGGUGCCCUCAAGGUGCGUGCAACCAUGGAAUGGAAGACUGGAGGAACCCAUGGUGGCCAACCAUGGGCCCGGUCCCUCUGGUAUGGGCCAUGAGCCAGCUGAGCCUGAGUGCAAAAAUGGACAGAAGGCCAACUGGAGUCAUGGUGACAUCAACCCCUAUAACCUGGGGGACACUCAAGAAAACCAUGCAGGAAGCUGAGAAACUACUGGAGCGUCAAGGCCAGAAAAAACCCCUGAUUCCAUGUUCUUGGCCAUGUUAGCUAUAAUGCCCUGUGUGGUAGGUUUUCCCUUGCAGAGUCAAAAACAUAUUGGGCAUAGGUUCCCAAUCCUCCAGCAGUACAACCUGUACUUUGGAGUGACACUCCUCCUGAGAUCUAUCGUGAUCAGGGAGCAUGGGCUCCAGGACCCCUAUGUCUGGCUCCCCCGGACAUAGAACAGUUAGACUCUCAGAACAAUGUCGUCAAUUAUACUACCCCACUGGAAGGACUCCCCUUGUGUAUCACUACAAAGAUGUCGCUCAACCAUAGCUGUCUUACAACUGAAGCUCAAGCAUGGUUGAGUCACCUUGGAAAAGUUAUGUACUUAAUAGUUCUUGGUUCUAUUUAUGUAACUGGUGUGCUAACCAACCAUGCCCGGCCCAAUUGCCCCAACUGUGCUGACUAUAUGGAAUGGAUUCCCUUCAAUAGUUCUGACCUCUCUCCAUUGACCCAGUGUCUUGGCCCACUGGGUAGAAAAGAAUCUGUGUUAACUGGAGACAUUGUGGAUUGGGGAACUAAAGGUCAACUAGAUGGAAAAGAGGAAAAUCAGAAAUCAUGACACAAACUUCACUGCCAUUGGUGGCAAGCUUUGAAUACUCCUUCUUUAUACCACACCGGGAUCCAAUCCCAGUCUGCCACCUGGAUUGCUUGGCAUGGAGCAGGCUUUAGCACACCUCUUCCUCAGUGGCAUUAUCUAGGGAGGAAAGGUCCAAUUCAAGAAACAAUAUGGAAAGCAGCACUGCUGUUCACAAACGGUAGUAUCCGGGUAGGAACACUCUCUAAUACCAGUACUGCUACUCAACACAGUCUUAAUGUCACAUUUGUAAAGAAUAUCACCACUCAACUUAUGGUUUGUGGUUUUAAUCCUUAUGUCUUUUUGGCAGCUAAGGCGGACCAGCUCCAGGUAAGCAAUACUCAAUUGACCUUAAAUCUUGCUGGUUAUAUCACUGCAUUAAUCAUAGCACAUUGCAAACAUGUAAUAUCUCUACUUUGAUAUUUGGGUCACAUUCCUGGGCUAUGGAUUCUCAUUAAUCUGUCUGAGCCUUGUGAUGCCACCCCUGUUUGGCACUUUGUGAAACUUCUUCUAACUAAACUUACUCAUCAUGCCUGUAGAGCCUCAGGCAUCAUAAUUUUUGCUAUUGUUUCUUUGGUCACACUAAUCACUUCUGCUGUAAUGUCCUCUGUAGCUUUGCAUAGUUCUGUUCAAAUGGCUCAGUAUGUAGAGGACUGGAGGCAUGCAGCCAACUAAGCAUGGCUACUUCAGAGUAAAAUUAACACUGAGUUACAAACUGAAGUGGUAAUAUUAAAAUCCAUGGUUCUGUGGUUAGGGGAACAAGUACAAAGCUUACAGUUGCAACAGAAAUUGCACUGUCAUUCACACUCAUAUUUGUGUAACCAACUUAGAAUAUAACCAAAGAGUAUCCAUGGGACCUUGUAAAAGCCCAUUUGCAGGGAGCUUUCACAUCCAACAUCACCUUUGACAUUGGUGAAUUACAAAAAAAAGUUCUUGAUUUAAAUAAGCAAACUCAAGAGUUUCAGCCUUCUUUAGAAGCCUGGACUGAAUUCCAGCAAGGCCUGGAGAGCCUCAAUCCUUGGAACUAUCUAAAGUACCACAUUAACAUCUCAUAUAUAGUUCUGGGAAUAAUGUUGUUCUGUCUCUGUUUCCUGCUCAUAGCCUGUAAAAUCAGAUGGAUUGCCAAUCAGAAAAUAAAGCUGCCCAACCUGGCCUUACAUUCAUUCAAUUAAUGCAAAAACAGAAAGGGAGAGAUGUUGGGAUCCAGAAGCCUGAGGAUUGUGACCAACACAGCAUUCCACUGGAAGCUAUAUGAUCAAAGAGCAAACUGUUUAUCAUGAAUGCAGAAUGUGGGCAAACUCACAUCUGCACCUGACACUGGAAGGUAUGCUAAGGGGAGCCACUCCCUGGUGCUGUGCUCCUUGAGAUUAUCUACUGGGACAUCUGGAGCCUACUGUUUAAAGAAUGCUGUCAUGCAGGCCUACACUAAGUCAAGCAGCUGACUGACAAUCAGCCCCUUCUCCCUAUCUCCUUUACUCAAUAAAUAUAAAGGGCUCUAGAACUCAGGGCCCUUGUUCACUAGAAGCAAGGAGCCCCCUGACCCCUUCUUCCAAAUAAACUUUUUUGUCUUUGUCUUUA